Molecule: long non-coding RNA, 1404 nt
Filed under: Balaenoptera musculus (blue whale)
Lineage: Eukaryota; Metazoa; Chordata; Mammalia; Artiodactyla; Balaenopteridae
Description: lncRNA (ENSBMSG00010018406.1)
Source: RNAcentral
ACUAAUGAACCUUGUGGCUUCCUUCCCAUCCGACUUCUGGGCUGGCCUGAGCUGAGGGAGCCUAAUGCCUGAGUAGCAGGAGUCCAGAAAAUGUCUCUCCUUGGCUUUGAGGCUGGUGAUAGGGAUUGCAUCCCCCAGCAGAUUCACAUUUCCUAAUGAGGUCUGACUCCCCCGAUACCGACAGGGGACUGCUUUCCCCAUGCCUGUGCUGCGUGGUUGGUGAUGGGGGGGUGAGGCGGGUGGUCAGGGCUGGAGUGAGGUUGUCCUGGCUCAUCCCCCACCAUGACCGGGAGUUGCCAUCUCUCCCGGCCCAGCACACACCGGGACUGGGCAAAGUCCACCCUGUGAGCGUGUGUUGGGGGAGAUUGUUGAUAUCCACAGCCCUGCAUGUUUGAGACAUGAUGACAUCCACCUCCACCUUCAGGGUGAGGAACUGUUGGCCUGUCUGUGUCUGUCUGUCCUCUGCACCCAUCUCCCCAAGACGUAGAAGGCAGCCCCAGGGACUCUUCCCAGGAUGGCCCUGAGUGAGCUCCUUCUCCCCUCUCUGCCCAGGAAAUGAACGCCCUGCGAGGCCAGGUGGGUGGUGAGAUCAACGUGGAGAUGGACGCCGCCCCCGGUGUGGACCUGGGCCGCAUCCUGAAUGAGAUGCGCGACCAGUACGAGAAGAUCACGGAGAAGAACCGCAAGGACGCUGAGGACUGGUUCUUCAGCAAGACGGAGGAGCUGAACCGCGAGGUGGCCACCAACACCGAGGCCCUGCCGAGCAGCCGGACGGAGAUCGCGGAGCCACGCCGCACCGUGCAGAACCUGGAGAUCGAGCUGCAGUCCCAGCUCAGCACGAAAGCGUCACUGGAGGGCAGCCUGGCAGAGACCGAGGUGCGCUAGGGGGUCCAGCUGGCCCAGCUGCAGGGGCUCAUCAGCAGCAUUGAGCAGCAGCUGUGCUAGCUCUGCUGUGACAUGGGCUGCAGAACCAGGAGUACAAGAUGCUGCUGGACGUGAAGACGCGGCUGGAGCAGGAGAUCGCCACCUACCGCCGCCUGCUGGAGGGCGAGGUUGCCCACCUGGCCACCCAGUACUCCUCGUCCCUGGUCUCUCAGCCCACCCGGGAAGGUGCGUACCAUCAUGGAGGAAGUCCAGGACGGCAAGGCGGUCCCCUCCCGUGAGCAGGUCCAUCACUCCCCCCACUGAGGCCCCGUCUACCUGCGACAGCCCAGCCUCCAGGGUCAAGGGGCAGCCAUUGCCUGCAGCUCCCAGCACGCUACUGCUGCGCCCCGAGUGCCCGUCUGGGCCACCGCCCAAGAGUGGUUGCCUUUCUGUAUCUGCUUCCCACAGCCCCUCACCAAGGGGACCUCCUGAGUUUGCUCCAGUGACUGCAAUUAAAGCUUUGCUUGAAGUUCAAUGCCU